Rana temporaria (common frog) is the source of this 466-nucleotide long non-coding RNA. RefSeq lists it as uncharacterized. The transcript has 3 exons. The record is from RefSeq and is a predicted model, not a curated record. NCBI's taxonomy places the organism in Eukaryota, Metazoa, Chordata, Amphibia, Anura, Ranidae.
AUGCAUUGUACUCCCAAGUCUAACAACAGACCAUAAAUUCCCCUUAAUUUGUUGUUUAGCCUAUUCAAUAACUACAGGUUUUACCUGAUCCGAGUGUUGAUACACCCUGACCCUUGACAGGUUGAUCGUUGCAGGCAGAGCUGUAAAACAGUACAGAGCAGUCAUCCAAGUGUCUACAAGGAGUGCCAGACCUACAGAGUAUCCAACAGUCCUGCUGGACAAUGAUAGGACCCUGUAUUACAAAGCUGCGGUAGCUUUCAUGUGGGUAGAUUUCAUGUGGUCCAGCAGCUACGAAGGAUGAUUCCGACCUCUAUAAAUUCAAAGGAGCAUGAACAGGAGACUUCUGCUCUGUUGAAGAUGAAGCUCUCUCUACGAUCGGUCGUAAUAGUGGCAGUGGUAACCUCCAUAUUCUUCUUUGCAUUCAAGCAGAAAAAAAUUCAGGUAAGACACCAAACGUUCAUGUUCU